CUGGCGGCAUGCCUAACACAUGCAAGUCGAACGAAGUCCUUCGGGCUUAGUGGCGCACGGGUGCGUAACGCGUGGGAAUCUGCCCCUUGGUUCGGAAUAACAGUUGGAAACGACUGCUAAUACCGGAUGAUGACGUAAGUCCAAAGAUUUAUCGCCGAGGGAUGAGCCCGCGUAGGAUUAGGUAGUUGGUGUGGUAAAGGCGCACCAAGCCGACGAUCCUUAGCUGGUCUGAGAGGAUGAUCAGCCACACUGGGACUGAGACACGGCCCAGACUCCUACGGGAGGCAGCAGUGGGGAAUAUUGGACAAUGGGCGAAAGCCUGAUCCAGCAAUGCCGCGUGAGUGAUGAAGGCCUUAGGGUUGUAAAGCUCUUUUACCCGGGAUGAUAAUGACAGUACC
Molecule: ribosomal RNA, 398 nt
Filed under: Sphingomonas sp. EP_L_50
Lineage: Bacteria; Pseudomonadati; Pseudomonadota; Alphaproteobacteria; Sphingomonadales; Sphingomonadaceae
Description: bacterial SSU rRNA
Rfam family: Bacterial small subunit ribosomal RNA
Source: RNAcentral